AUGGCUCUGGGCAGACACCUCUCCCUGCGGGGACUCUGUGUCCUCCUCCUCGGCACCGUGGUGGGUGGUCAAGUACUGGAGCUGAGGCUGAAGGAUGGAGCCCACCACUGUGAGGGGAGAGUGGAAGUGAAGCACCAAGGAGAAUGGGGCACAGUGGAUGAUCUGGAAUGGACCUUGAAGGAUGCAUCUGUAGUGUGCAGACAGCUGGGGUGUGGAGCUGCCAUUGGUUUUCCUGGAGGGGCUUAUUUUGGACCAGGACUUGGCCCCAUUUGGCUUUCGUAUACUUCAUGUGAAGGGGUAGAGUCAUCUGUCAGUGACUGUAGGCAUUCUAAUAUUAAAGACUAUCGUAAUGCUAGCUAUUCGCACGACGAGGAUGCUGGAGUAGUCUGCUCAGGAUUUGUGCGUCUGGCUGGAGGGGAUGGACCCUGCUCAGGGCGAGUAGAAGUGUAUUCUGGAGAAGCCUGGAUCCCAGUGUCUGAUGGGAAUUUCACACUCCUCACUGCCGAGGUCAUCUGUGCAGAGCUGGGGUGUGGCAAGGCUGUGUCUGUCCAGGGACAUGAGCUCUUCAGAGAGUCCAGUGCCUGGGUCUGGGCUGAAGAGUUCAGGUGUGAGGGGGAGGAGCCUGAGCUCUGGGUCUGCCUCAGAGUGCCCUGUCCAGGGGGCACCUGUCACCACAGUGGAUCUGCUCAGGUUGUCUGUUCAGCAUACUCAGAAGUCCGGCUCAUGACAAAUGGCUCCUCUCAGUGUGAGGGGCAGGUGGAGAUGAACAUUUCUGGACGAUGGAGAGCGCUCUGUGCCUCCCACUGGAGUCUGGCCAAUGCCAAUGUUGUCUGUCGUCAGCUCGGCUGUGGAGUUGCCAUCUCCACCCCCGGAGGACCACACUUGGUGGAAGGAGGUGAUCAGAUCCUAACAGCCCUAUUUCACUGCUCGGGGGCAGAGUCCUUCCUGUGGAGUUGUCCUGUGACUGCCCUGGGUGGGCCUGACUGUUCCCAUGGCAACACAGCCUCUGUGAUCUGCUCAGGAAACCAGACCCAGGUGCUGCCCCAGUGCAAUGACUCUAUGGCAGAACCAGCUGGCUCUUGGGCCUCAGAGGAGAGCGCCCCCUACUGCUCAGACAACAGAUAGCUCUGCCUGGUGGAAGGAGCUGGUCCCUGUGCCGGGAGAGUGGAGAUCCUUGACCAGGGCUCCUGGGGCACCAUCUGUGAUGACGGCUGGGACCUGGACGAUGCCCACGUGGUGUGCAGGCAGCUGGGCUGUGGAGAAGCCCUCAAUGCCACAGGGUCUGCUCACUUCGGAGCAGGAUCAGGGCCCAUCUGGCUGGACGACCUGAACUGCACAGGAAAGGAGUCCCACGUGUGGAGGUGCCCUUCCCGGGGCUGGGGGCAGCACAACUGCAGACACAAGCAGGAUGUGGGGGUCAUCUGCUCAGAGUUCCUGGCCCUCAGGAUGGUGAGUGAGGACCAGCAGUGUGCUGGGUGGCUGGAAGUUUUCUACAACGGGACCUGGGGCAGUGUCUGCUGCAACCCCAUGGAAGACAUCACUGUGUCCAUCAUCUGCAGACAGCUUGGCUGUGGGGACAGUGCAACCCUCAACUCUUCUGUUGAUCUCAGGGAAGGUUCUAGACCCCAGUGGGUGGAUAGAAUCCACUGUUGGAAAACUGACACCUCUCUCUGGCCGUGUCCUUCUGACCCUUGGAAUUACACUUCGUGCUCUCCAAAGGAGGAAGCCUAUAUCUCGUGUGCAGGUAGCAGACAGCUCCGCCUGGUGGACGGGGGCGGUCCCUGUGCCGGGAGAGUGGAGAUCCUUAAUCAGGGCUCCUGGGGCACCAUCUGUGAUUACAGCUGGAGCAUGAAAGAUGCCCGCGUGGUGUGCAGACAGUUGGGCUGUGGAAAAGCCCUCUAUGCCACUCUCUCUUCUUCCUUUGGGGCGGGAUCAGGGCCCAUUUGGCUGGACAACAUGAAGUGCACAGGAAAGGAGUCCCAGUGUGGAGGUGCCCUUCCCGGGGCUGGGGGAAGCACUACUGCGAUCAUAGUGAGGAUGCAGGAGUCAUCUGCUCAGGAUUUGUGGGUCUGGCUGGAGGGGAUGGACCCUGCUCAGGGCGAGUAGAAGUGCAUUCUGGAGAAGCCUGGAUCCCAGUGUCUGAUGGAAACUUCACACUCCCCACUGCCCAGGUCAUCUGUGCAGAGCUAGGGUGUGGCAAGGCUGUGUCUGUCCUGGGACAUGUGCCCUUCAGAGAGUCCGAUGGCCGGGUCUGGGCUGAAGAGUUCAGGUGUGAGGGGGAGGAGCCUAAGCUCUGGUGGUGCCCCAGAGUGCCCUGUCCAGGGGGGACAUGUCACUACAGUGGAGCUGCUCAGGUUGUCUGUUCAGUGUACACAGAUGUCUGGCUCAUGACAAAUGGCUCCUCACUGUGUGAGGGGCAGGUGGAGAUGAACAUUUCUGGACAAUGGAGAGCGCUCUGUGCCCCCCACUGGAAUCUGGCCAAUGCCAAUGUUGUCUGUUAUCAGCUCGGCUGUGGAGUCGCCAUUUCCACCCCAAAUGGAGCAGAAGGAAGUGAUCAACUCUGGAAAGCCCGAUUUCACUGCUCAGGGACUGAGUCUUUCCUGUGGAAAUGCCCUGUGACUGCCCUGGGUGUUCCUGACUGUUCCCAUGACAAUACGGCUUCUGUGAUCUUCGCAGGAAACCAGACCCAGGUGCUGCCCCAGUGCGACCACUUUGUGUCUGAACCAGCAGGAUCUGCGGCCUCAGAGGACAGCGCCCCCUACUGCUCAGACAGCAGACAGCUCCGCCUGGUGGACGGGGGCGGUCCCUGCGCCGGGAGAGUGGAGAUCCUUGACCAGGGCUCUUGGGGCACCAUCUGUGAUGACGGCUGGGAUCUGGACGAUGCCCGCGUGGUGUGCAGACAGCUGGGCUGUGGAGUAGCCCUUAAUGCCACGGGGUCUGCUCACUUUGCGGCAGGAUCAGGGCCCAUCUGGCUGGACGACCUGAACUGCACAGGAAAGGAGUCCCACGUGUGGACGUGCCCUUCCCGGGGCUGGGGGCGGCACGAUUGCAGACACAAGGAGGACGCCGGGGUCAUCUGCUCAGAGUUCCUGGCCCUCAGGAUGGUGAGCGAGGACCAGCCGUGUGCUGGGUGGCUGGAAGUUUUCUACAACGGGACCUGGGGCAGUGUCUGCCGCAGCCCCAUGGAUGAUGUCACCGUGUCCAUCAUCUGCAGACAGCUUGGCUGUGGGGACAGUGGAAGUCUCAACACCUCUGUUGGUCUCAGGGAAGGUUCUAGACCCCGGUGGGUAGAUUUAAUUCAGUGUCGGAAAAUGGAUACCUCUCUCUGGCACUGUCCUUCUGGCCCAUGGAAAUACAGUUCAUGCUCUCCAAAGGAGGAAGCCUACGUCUCAUGUGCAGGAAGAAGACCCAAGAGCUGUCCAACUGCUGCCUCCUGCACAGACAGAGAGAAGCUUCGGCUCAGGGGAGGAGACAGCGAGUGCUCAGGGCGGGUGGAGGUCUGGCACAGCGGCUCCUGGGGCACCGUGUGUGAUGACUCCUGGAGCCUGGCAGAGGCCGAGGUGGUGUGUCAGCAGCUGGGCUGUGGCCAGGCCCUAGAAGCCGUGCAGGCUGCGGGGUUUGGCCCUGGAAAUGGGAGCAUCUGGCUGGACGAGGUGUGGUGCAGGGGCCGGGAGUCCUCCCUGUGGGACUGUGCUGAGGAGCCCUGGGAGCAGAGCGACUGCAAGCAUGAGGAGGAUGCUGGUGUGAGGUGCUCUGGUGAGACAUUGCCCACGACCACAGCAGGGACCAGAACAACCUCAAAUUCUCUCCCUGGCAUCUUCUCCCUGCCUGGGGUCCUCUGCCUUAUCCUGGGGUCCCUUCUCUUCCUGGUCCUCAUCAUCCUGGUGACUCAGCUACUCAGAUGGAGAGCAGAGCACAGAGCCUUAUCCAGCUAUGAAGAUGCUCUUGCUGAAGCUGUGUAUGAGGAGCUUGAUUACCUUCUGACACAGAAGGAAGGUCUGGGCAGCCCAGGUGAGGAUGGUGAGGACAACAGUGAUUACAGAUCUGCUCCAGCCCCAGAUCAGAGGACUGAUGUCCCUGCUGAAAAUUACGAUAAUGCUGAAGAAGUACCAGUGCCUGGAACUCCUUCUGCCUCUCAGGGGAAUGAGGAGGAAGUGCCCCCAGAGAAGGAGGAUGGGGUGAGGUCCUCUCAGACAGGCUCUUGUCUGAACUUCUCCAGAGAGGCAGCUGAUCCUGGGGAAGGAGAAGAGAGCUUCUGGCUGCUCCAGGGGAAGAAAGGGGAUCCUGGGUAUGAUGAUGUUGAACUCAGUGCCCUGGGAACAUCCCCAGUGACUUUCUCGUGA
This 4343-nucleotide unclassified non-coding RNA is filed under the name Bos taurus (domestic cattle). Its description in RNAcentral is "WC1 isolate CH196". Lineage: Eukaryota; Metazoa; Chordata; Mammalia; Artiodactyla; Bovidae. The record is from RNAcentral.